UACAGAGGGUGCAAGCGUUGCUCGGAUUUACUGGGCGUAAAGCGUACGCAGACGGUACGGCAAGUCGGGCGUGAAAGCCCCAGGCUCAACCUGGGAACUGCGCUCGAUACUAUCGUGCUAGAGUUCGGGAGAGGAAAGCGGAAUUCCUGGUGUAGAGGUGAAAUUCGUAGAUAUCAGGAGGAACACCGGCGGCGAAGGCGGCUUUCUGGCCCGAUACUGACGUUGAGGUACGAGAGCGUGGGUAGCAAACAGG
This 253-nucleotide ribosomal RNA is filed under the name uncultured bacterium. Its description in RNAcentral is "partial 16S ribosomal RNA". It matches the Rfam family "Bacterial small subunit ribosomal RNA", at positions 524 to 776 of the family's 1533-position model. The record is from RNAcentral.